Molecule: ribosomal RNA, 447 nt
Filed under: uncultured bacterium
Lineage: Bacteria
Description: bacterial SSU rRNA
Rfam family: Bacterial small subunit ribosomal RNA
Source: RNAcentral
CCCAGACUCCUACGGGAGGCAGCAGUGGGGAAUAUUGCACAAUGGGGGGAACCCUGAUGCAGCGACGCCGCGUGAGUGAAGAAGUAUUUCGGUAUGUAAAGCUCUAUCAGCAGGGAAGAUAAUGACGGUACCUGACUAAGAAGCCCCGGCUAACUACGUGCCAGCAGCCGCGGUAAUACGUAGGGGGCAAGCGUUAUCCGGAUUUACUGGGUGUAAAGGGUGCGUAGGUGGCAGGGCAAGUCAGAUGUGAAAGCCCGGGGCCCAACCCCGGUACUGCAUUUGAAACUGUCCGGCUGGAGUGCAGGAGAGGUAAGCGGAAUUCCUAGUGUAGCGGUGAAAUGCGUAGAUAUUAGGAGGAACACCAGCGGCGAAGGCGGCUUACUGGACUGUAACUGACACUGAGGCACGAAAGCGUGGGGAGCAAACAGGAUUAGAUACCCCGGUACG